GAAAACAGAAUGUUCAACUGGGAUCAUUUCUUGGAGGAAUCACUGUGAUCAUCUUACUGAUCUGCUUGAUUAUCUGUGCUCGGUGGUUAAAGUCAAAACAUCAAACUAAACAACAGACUCAGAUUCAAGCACAUGAAGAGCCGUUUGUUGAAGAGCCAGCAAGUAAAACAGAAGGAGAAGAAGAAAACAUCCAUUAUGAAGAGAUCAACUUGUUUUCACUGGGAUAUGAAGCAUCCUCUGAGUCAGUGCAGGACAGAGGACAGCAGCAGGAUACGGUGUAUUCACAGGUGAAAUUCAGUGAGCCAAAAACAGCUUAACAGAGGGUGGUGAUGGCCAACAGCAACACUUCUCUCAAGUAAAGAAAAAAUGAGAACUGUUGCAAAAUAACUACAUUAAGAAAGAGUGUUAAAAAAGAAAAACACACAUUGGAACUGUAAAUAAGUCAUUUUCACUCCACGGUUAAGUGAAAUAAAACUAAACAGCUCCUGGAAGCCGUUUUUUAUGUUCAGUGCAUUGUGCUAACGUCGUACAGGUGUUUUGAGAUUUUGAAUUCUAAUUAUUAAUCUGUGUAAAAAAAGAAGUUACAAACAUGACUUUUCUCUAUGCCUACAACAUUGUGCAAUGACUGCCUGCAGGAGCAAGUGGGGGUCAUAUGAUUUGGGGGUUUUCUCUGUAUAUAUUAUUGUAGGGUCAACCUUACAAUAUAAAGUGCCUUGAGGUGACUGUUGUUGUGAUGUGAUGCUUUAUAAAUAAAAUUGAAUUAAAAUUGAAUGUAAAAUUGUCACUUUCAGCCAACAGUCAGCUGGGAGUGCUGCUUCUCCUUGGGUGUAUCUUUUCCACUAUAAACUUUCACAGAAUUGCAAAGUGUCACCAAGAGAUGGCGCUUUUUUCAAAACAAAUUUGACUUGGAUAGUUACCAAGAGAAGAUUUUCUCAAUAUUAUUGUAGGGUGUUUACAUUAUAAUAUAAGGCACCUUGAGGUCACUGUGUGUUAUAUGAAUAAAACUGAA
Molecule: long non-coding RNA, 1009 nt
Organism: Oreochromis niloticus (Nile tilapia)
Lineage: Eukaryota; Metazoa; Chordata; Actinopteri; Cichliformes; Cichlidae
Exons: 3
Source: RefSeq, a predicted model, not a curated record